AGUAACUGCGAGUGAAGCGGGAAAAGCUCAAAUUUAAAAUCUGGCGGCCUUUGGUCGUUCGAGUUGUAAUUUAGAGAAGCGUCUUCCGCGCUGGACCGUGCACAAGUCUCCUGGAAUGGAGCGUCAUAGAGGGUGAGAAUCCCGUCUUUGGCACGGAUGCACCAGGGCUUUCGUGAUGCGCUCUCGAAGAGUCGAGUUGUUUGGGAAUGCAGCUCAAAAUGGGUGGUGAACUCCAUCUAAAGCUAAAUAUUGGCGAGAGACCGAUAGCGAACAAGUACCGUGAGGGAAAGAUGAAAAGCACUUUGGAAAGAGAGUGAAACAGUACGUGAAAUUGUUGAAAGGGAAACGCUUGAAGUCAGUCGCGUCGACCGAGACUCAGCCUCGCCUUGGCUUGGUGUACUUCUCGGCCGACGGGUCAGCGUCRAUUUUGGCCUUCGGAUAAUGGCAGGGGAAAGGUAGCACCUUUACGGGUGUGUUAUAGUCUCUUGUCGCAUGCGAGGGUCAGG
Molecule: ribosomal RNA, 506 nt
Filed under: Russula eccentrica
Lineage: Eukaryota; Fungi; Basidiomycota; Agaricomycetes; Russulales; Russulaceae
Description: eukaryotic LSU rRNA
Rfam family: Eukaryotic large subunit ribosomal RNA
Source: RNAcentral